GCACCUAUAGCUUAAUUGGUUAAAGCAGUCGACUCAUAAUCGAUUGAGUAUAGGUUCAAGUCCUAUUGGGUGCA
RNAcentral lists this transfer RNA (74 nucleotides) under Caudoviricetes sp. Its description in RNAcentral is "tRNA-Met". It matches the Rfam family "tRNA". Rfam says of the family: Transfer RNA (tRNA) molecules are approximately 80 nucleotides in length. Lineage: Duplodnaviria; Heunggongvirae; Uroviricota; Caudoviricetes. The record is from RNAcentral.